This 432-nucleotide ribosomal RNA is filed under the name uncultured bacterium. Its description in RNAcentral is "partial 16S ribosomal RNA". It matches the Rfam family "Bacterial small subunit ribosomal RNA", at positions 29 to 506 of the family's 1533-position model. The record is from RNAcentral.
AGCGAACGCUGGCGGCAGGCUUAACACAUGCAAGUCGAGCGGGCACUUCGGUGUCAGCGGCGGACGGGUGAGUAACACGUGGGAACGUACCCUUUGGUUCGGAAUAACGCUGGGAAACUAGCGCUAAUACCGGAUACGCCCUUUUGGGGAAAGGCUUGCUGCCGAAGGAUCGGCCCGCGUCUGAUUAGCUAGUUGGUGGGGUAAUGGCCUACCAAGGCGACGAUCAGUAGCUGGUCUGAGAGGAUGAUCAGCCAAACUGGGACUGAGACACGGCCCAGACUCCUACGGGAGGCAGCAGUGGGGAAUAUUGGACAAUGGGCGCAAGCCUGAUCCAGCCAUGCCGCGGGAGUGAUGAAGGCCUUAGGGUUGUAAAGCUCUUUUGUCCGGGACGAUAAUGACGGUACCGGAAGAAUAAGCCCCGGCUAACUUCGU